UAAGAUUUCUUGAUAAAAUGCAAAAUGUUUAAAAUAGGAACCAGGAACCCAUCCUUUUUUUUUUUGGCUUACAGAAGAGGGGAAUGCCCGAAACAACAAACCAAGCAAUUACAAGCCUUGGCAAAGAAACACCUAAAACAUUCUGGAGGAUGCCUGAGUUGAACCACACGCUCUGUCUCAACGCUUUAUUAGCAAGGAUUUCCUUCGUGACACACAUGCAGUAUUUGCACUCCCUGAAAGGAUUUCGUUAACAAACGACACCUGAACUAAAUUGAGAAAUCGCCCAUCAUGAACUAUAUGCAUAGACUACCACGAGACUACCACCUGGCAAUCAACUUCAACCAUGGAGCUUUGAACUCCCUUAUUAUGAGCGACUAUCACACCUUUAAUCACUGCCCCUAGCUCCGCCUCAAUAGUUGUACAGGUGCCAACAUAUCUGUCACAUAUUAAACCCCCGGCACCAGCUCUACCCGGAAUCCCUUUCGCACAAUCAUCUAUAUUAAACUUAAAUCCAGGAGUAAGAAGGUAGAGACCAGCCAACUAAUUUAGUGACACAAGAAUUCCAGCAGAUGGCCCAAGCUUAUUUUAUUUGUUUCGAUGUACCUCCAAAUCUGUAUUAUCGAGCACCCUUCCAUUUCUCCACCUCCAUAACCACCUGAGCACUGCUCCAAAGAGAGUACACCGAACUCCAUCAUAGCUCUCCUGAAACCUAUUAGACAAAUUAUCCACAAGCCGGGCACGCAUAUUCUUAGACAAUUCUCUAAUAAGCUUGCGCCUAGGAAUGAACAGACCUGCAAGGCAUAAGGACAGUCUCUCGGAAUAUGUGCAGGCAAUUCAAAUUUACCUGGGAGGAAAGACUAAAGGGAGUGGAAGAAAAACCUCUCUUAGCUCUCUCUUCAUUCUCCAUAAUUUUGCCGUAAGCAACUUGCCAUAAGAAAACCCAAAUUCUCUGGGAAACCGGUGCUGUCCACACAAGAUUGUCCAGACUGAGGGCUUCCAGAGUUCCACAUCGUACGAUUGAUCAUCUUCACAAACAAUAAAAGCAGCCGGCUUUUGGCUCACCAAAUCAGGUAGCCAAUUGUUCAAUUUAUUCGAGUCCCAUCCUUGUCCCAAAAUCCAAAUGGAACUAUAGCCGAACAUUCAGAUAAAAUAGGGCCAUCGAUUAGCCAAGUGUCCAUCCAAAACUGAGUUGCUCUUCCAUUUCUCACCUCAAUGAUCUUCCCUUGCUGCACUAUCACUUUUCCCUCCUUAAUAUUCCUCCAGACAAAACAAUUAGCUUUUACAGAAUAUCUAGCUCCAUGAAGUUGUUUAUUUCCUUGAAACCUAGCACACAGAAUAUCGAGCUCCUGGUAUGAAAAUGGCCUUCCUUGCUAAAUUAAGUUGGCAUAGACCUGAGAAACGGCAGCCACAGUUGAUGCUGACUAACCAGGACCAACUCUUUAGAGAAUUUUUAAAUUUUCAAGUAUUAUUUCAUUUUUAAAUUGAUUAAAUUCAGGCAUUGUAUACCCUCUCAAUCCAGUUUCUUGUAAACUUAUCUGGUUUAGUUUUUCAGAUUUGCAUUCCCCGAAGAGUGCGGCUACCUCAUCAAAUAACGUCAAUCCAAACUGGACUCUUCUCAAAC
RNAcentral lists this long non-coding RNA (1621 nucleotides) under Ricinus communis (castor bean). RNAcentral's name for it is "long non-coding RNA (RCOM_LNC000863)". Lineage: Eukaryota; Viridiplantae; Streptophyta; Magnoliopsida; Malpighiales; Euphorbiaceae. The record is from RNAcentral.